RNAcentral lists this ribosomal RNA (468 nucleotides) under uncultured bacterium. Its description in RNAcentral is "partial 16S ribosomal RNA". It matches the Rfam family "Bacterial small subunit ribosomal RNA", at positions 28 to 507 of the family's 1533-position model. The record is from RNAcentral.
GACGAACGCUGGCGGCGUGCUUAACACAUGCAAGUCGAACGGAAAGGCCCUGCUUUUGUGGGGUGCUCGAGUGGCGAACGGGUGAGUAACACGUGAGUAACCUGCCCUUGACUUUGGGAUAACUUCAGGAAACUGGGGCUAAUACCGGAUAGGAGCUCCUGCUGCAUGGUGGGGGUUGGAAAGUUUCGGCGGUUGGGGAUGGACUCGCGGCUUAUCAGCUUGUUGGUGGGGUAGUGGCUUACCAAGGCUUUGACGGGUAGCCGGCCUGAGAGGGUGACCGGGCACAUUGGGACUGAGAUACGGCCCAGACUCGUACGGGAGGCAGCAGUGGGGAAUAUUGCACAAUGGGCGGAAGCCUGAUGCAGCAACGCCGCGUGCGGGAUGACGGCCUUCGGGUUGUAAACCACUUUCGCCUGUGACGAAGCGUGAGUGACGGUAAUGGGUAAAGAAGCACCGGCUAACUACGUG